Molecule: ribosomal RNA, 468 nt
Filed under: uncultured bacterium
Lineage: Bacteria
Description: partial 16S ribosomal RNA
Rfam family: Bacterial small subunit ribosomal RNA
Source: RNAcentral
GACGAACGCUGGCGGCGUGCUUAACACAUGCAAGUCGAACGGAAAGGCCCUGCUUUUGUGGGGUGCUCGAGUGGCGAACGGGUGAGUAACACGUGAGUAACCUGCCCUUGACUUUGGGAUAACUUCAGGAAACUGGGGCUAAUACCGGAUAGGAGCUCCUGCUGCAUGGUGGGGGUUGGAAAGUUUCGGCGGUUGGGGAUGGACUCGCGGCUUAUCAGCUUGUUGGUGGGGUAGUGGCUUACCAAGGCUUUGACGGGUAGCCGGCCUGAGAGGGUGACCGGCCACAUUGGGACUGAGAUACGGCCCAGAGUCCAACGGGAGGCAGCAGUGGGGAAUAUUGCACAAUGGGCGGAAGCCUGAUGCAGCAACGCCGCGUGCGGGAUGACGGCCUUCGGGUUGUAAACCGCUUUAGCCUGUGACGAAGCGUGAGUGACGGUAAUGGGUAAAGAAGCACCGGCUAACUACGUG